Molecule: small RNA, 26 nt
Filed under: Bombyx mori (domestic silkworm)
Lineage: Eukaryota; Metazoa; Arthropoda; Insecta; Lepidoptera; Bombycidae
Description: ovarian small RNA-15601
Source: RNAcentral
GACUACUUUCGAGAGCUCCCUGUAUC